Molecule: small RNA, 160 nt
Filed under: Nothoprocta perdicaria
Lineage: Eukaryota; Metazoa; Chordata; Aves; Tinamiformes; Tinamidae
Description: TUC338 (ENSNPEG00000016259.1)
Source: RNAcentral
CUGACAGAAUGGAAAGUGUCCUUUAUCUGAAGAGUGGAUACACUGCAGGCAGCACACAACCUCCCUUCAUCAUCUGCUGGGGCUUGAACACUCUCUUAAAGCCACCUCUACAGGGUCAGAGGAUAGUUCAGUCUCCAUGCCCCUUCAAUCCUUUGCCUCU